AAUUAAAAUAUUGUUCACACAUUUGUUGUGUCAGUUUUAGGCAUACAUUGUAGUCAUUCCAUAUGUCUCUACAUUAUGUUGUACUCAACCACAAGUGUAGCUAUCCUGUGAAAGCAUGCAACAAUAUUGUUACAGGAUUGACUCCAUUCCAUUGGCUGUCCCUUGUAUCCCUAGGACUCAUUCACUCCAUAGCUGGACGCCGGUAUCUCUCUCUCUCAAAGGUGUCCAUUCUUUAAGUAUUUUGGUGCCAAACAGUAUUACCUCUUGUUCAGCAUAUGUAAAUCGGUGUUCUAUUUUUCUGUGAAUAUUGCUUAAAACAUUACAAAUGAUGUCGUUACGUUAAUAAAUUCGGUUUCAUUCUUCACUCACAAGAAAGAGAAGGAAAAGAUUUUGGGUCCCAGGCCCUGUCACUAAAACCUUCCCAACGAGGAGAACAGGCUUAGUUGCCCAGAGCGCCUUCGGUCUCUCAGCUGAGCAACCAGGGCCUUCAACAUUGAAGGAAUUCCCAUGGUGGCCAGCAGAGAGAGCUCAAGCACCACAGACCCCCGAGGGGCGGGUUCCUCUGCUGGGCAGUGAUAGCCAGCAGAGGGCGCACCAUCUGCUUUUCUGACCCAGGGCACCUCAGAGCAGGAAGGGCUUUGAUUGCUCUCAGAGGACUCAGGCCUCUUCUGGUGCCUGAGUACAGAGAGCAGAGCUGCAUUUCCAGCAGGAUCUGCCACCCGCCCCAGGGGAGACCUUGGGAGCUUAGCAGCAACUUGGCAUCUCCUGAGUCGCCAGAGAGAAGCUGCCUUGUUGUACUGAGUGCUGAGGAGGGGGCGCCGGGUGGCUUCCCUGGUCAAGCUGGUCGCUGAGCUGCACAGGCCUUUGCAUUUUCUGGGCUGUUCCCGUGUCACCCCUUCCCGGACAGUGUUUGAACAAGACGUAUUUUACUAAAGGACUUGUGGAUUGCGGGGUCCCACGACAUCACCUCAUAGAUGCAGUCGAUGGUUCGUUCCAGAUCCAGGCUUGUUUCCCGGGAAGUAACCCUAACAGAAAUUCAGAAGCACGGGAGCUGCAUUCAAUUAGGACGUGGAUCCAUGAAAUGCUCGUCUCACGACCUUCUAGAAGAAGGAGCUGGGACCCAUGUUCCGAGUUCUGCUGGACCCAGAGACCAAGUCUAUGCAACCUCCAUCCGCCUCCAUCCUUUAUGAGACC
This 1194-nucleotide long non-coding RNA is filed under the name Felis catus (domestic cat). RNAcentral describes it as "lncRNA (ENSFCAG00000047671.1)". Lineage: Eukaryota; Metazoa; Chordata; Mammalia; Carnivora; Felidae. The record is from RNAcentral.